This is an RNA transcript of Polypterus senegalus (gray bichir), 3451 nucleotides long. It is a transcript of the gene named receptor-associated protein of the synapse, 43kD, with no coding region annotated. The transcript is spliced from 9 exons. Lineage: Eukaryota; Metazoa; Chordata; Cladistia; Polypteriformes; Polypteridae. The record is from RefSeq and is a predicted model, not a curated record.
AUGCCAGAGAGUGGCAGUCACGUGAUGAAGAAUGACAAGCACAGCUGUGGCCAAUCCAAAGAAAGACUGCUUCAUAAACAUGCAGGGAUGUUACCGUCCUGCUCUAGAGUUUCACACUCCAUCUGCAUGAAAGACGCCUGGAAGAGUGACCAGGUUGGGCCUGUUGCACAAUGAGCGUUUUACAGCUUGCUUUCUUUGACUUUGCUCAAUUUGCUGCUUGAUCCACUCCACCACAACUGAAUGCACAGGGGCAAUGUUUAUUCCUACCUCUGUCUCUUCAUCGUAUUGCCUGAAUUCUGAGGACGUACACACGUCUGACCAGCGUGGAACUGGAGAUCUUGUUUCCUAGGGGGAGAGCUGAAAUGGGUCAGGACCAAGCAAAACAGCAGAUUGAGAAGGGACUCCACCUGUAUCAGUCUAACCAGACCGAGAAAGCACUCCACAUUUGGGCCAAGGUCUUGGAGAAGGCAUCUGACCCUGCUGCAAAGUUCCGGGUUCUUGGCUGUCUCAUCACUGCCCAUUCGGAGAUGGGAAAAUAUAAGGACAUGCUGAAGUAUGCCCUAGCUCAGAUCGAUACAGCUCGGGAGAUGGAGGAUCCCGAUUACCUCACGGAAGCUUAUCUGAACUUGGCACGCAGCAAUGAGAAAUUGUGUGACUAUCAAAAGACCAUCUCGUACUGCAAGACCUGCCUCAACAUGCAAGGCACAACCAUCAGCCUGCAACUCAAUGGCCAGGUUUGCCUGAGCCUUGGCAAUGCCUUCCUGGGCCUCAGCAUGUUCCAGAAAGCCCUGGAGAACUAUGAGAAGGCGCUCCGCUACGCCCACAAUAACGAUGACAAGAUGCUAGAGUGCCGUGUGUGCUGCAGCUUGGGCAAUUUCUACAUCCAGCUCAAGGACUUUGAAAAGGCUCUCUUUUUUCCCUGUAAAGCAGCUGAGCUUGUAAAUGAUUAUGGUAAAGGUUGGAGCUUGAAGUAUCGAGCAAUGAGCCAGUAUCACAUGGCAGUGGCUUACAGGAAGUUGGGUCGUCUCCCUGAUGCCAUGGAGUGCUGUGAGGAGUCCAUGAAGAUUGCCCUUCAGCACAGUGAUCGUCCCCUCCAAUCUCUGUGCCUGCUGACCUUUGCUGACAUCCAUCGCAGUAGAGGUGAUGUUCAGAAAGCAUUCCCUCGCUAUGAGUCGUCCAUGUGCAUCAUGACGGAGACAGGCAAUCGCUUGGGCCAGGUGAACAUCUACCUAGGAGUGGCCAAGUGUUGGCUUCUGCAGAAGGAGCUGGACAAGGCCUUGGCUGCAGUUGAGAAAGCAUAUGAACUGGCAGAAGGGUUGGAGCACAAGUUGAGUCUUCUCCGUGUCCACUGCCUAAGCGAAGGUAUUUAUCGUGCUAAAGAGGAGCAGGCCAAACUUCGGGAACAUGUCGUCAAGUUCCAUGAGUGUGUGGAGGAAAUGGAGCUAUAUUGCGGCAUGUGUGGAGAGUCCAUAGGAGACCGAAACCAUCAGCUGCAAGCGCUGCCCUGCUCCCACGUCUUUCACCUUAAGUGUCUGCAGACAAAUGGGACAAGAGGGUGUCCAAAUUGCAGAAAAUCUUCAAUCAAACCAGGCUUUGUAUGAUGGAUGUGGCAUCAGUCAUUGAAUGGUGCUGGUUGGACAUGGACUGCUCUUGUUUUUCUUGAUGCAGUUAACCAGAGGGAGACACCAACAUCAAGCAGAUGGUUGAACAGACAGACAUUCUAAUUUCCUUUCUCUUUGGUAACAUGGAAGCAUGUUCAGGAGCAGGCAUGUGGCAGCAACCUGGCACCAUCUUCCUGUCUACAGUUACCUUGGAGAUCAUUCCACCUGCAUGGAGAGUGGGCAUACUGGAAGUAAAACAAGAGGUGCUGCUGGUCCAUAUUCACCCUCCUGUCCGGUGAGGCGGACAAUCCAGCAAGCCUUUCAGCAACAGACGGCCUGUCCACCCCAAUCACUCAAAGAGUGCCCAGGAGCUCAGUGCAGCAGUCACGUACUUCAUGAUGCCAUUUCAAAUGGUGAGACCUGGAUGGCUGAGGCAGAGAAAGGUGGCAGAGGCACUAUGUAAAGUACCAUCACAACAGUUGUUUUUCAUUGCUAAAAAUCUCCAAUCUAUACAACCAAGUUAAAGCCGAUGUUGGCAGAAAGUUACCGUAGGGUACAUUGUGUGCUGAUCUUUGGACCAGCUGUGGUGUUCAGCAACCUUACAUUAGCUUCACCAUAUAUUACAUCACCCCAGUCUGGAAACACAGUUCUUCCCAGAAGAUCCCACUUCUGAGAGACAUCCAAACUUUUUUUGAAAAUACGUUGGAGGAGUGGGGACUCAACAAGGAAGACCAGGUCUGUGAUACCACAUAUAAUACAAGAAACACGAGAAAAGCCUUUGAAGAAUAUCAUGCCCAGCAGCACAAGAAUUCAAAGGUCAAUGAGAAGUCAAUGAUGUAGUCAAAAAAAAAAUAAUAAUAAUGUAGCAAGAGUCAAAACCAGGAGGACCAGUCUCAGUAACCGAGGCCAAGAAUCAUGGGACAAAAUCGAAGAAAGAAGGAACCCAGAAAGUUCAGAAUAUGAAUAUGAAACCAAACUUUUUCAAAAAAGGUUCAAAGGGUUUUGGAGUUGGUGGAGUAGGAUGGGGAAGUGUACCACUAGAUGACCUUUCAUCCUGUCACGGUGUGAUUGAUAGACCACGACCUCUGAGGACACAACCACUGUUGGGUGGUCCUAGCAAGAGGAAUCCACUAUAGUGCCGUCAAUAUGGCGGUGAUAUAGCGGCCCCAAUCUCAAAUCAACAUCAGAACUAUAUUUUACAAAUACAUGAACCCCCCAACCGAGUCCCUGAUAGUACCCAGAUCUGUGGCUUGGGUUGCUUUGGCCAUAACCUGAACUUUACAAUUUCAAAGGCUUUGAAAAUUUAGAGAGUUGGCCCUGCAUGCCAAGGCUGAUAUCAUUUGGUUCAUGGCUUCUCGCAGAUCUGGGAAAGGAGAAUUGAGUUAAAGCAAAAGGAAGCUGCCGUCAACAUUCCCCAGAAGGCCCUGGUCCCUAAUGUGGGGACUCGAUUGGAAUCCAUAUACAAGCUGCUUGAGUGUUUCCUCAGCCAACAGUAGACAGCCAUUGGUGUUACACUGGAAGGAGAAAGAGGAAUAUGGCAUCUGAGGCCUAAUCAAGCUGACAUACUGUAAGUGUCAUGUGGCCUCUGAGUAUGUUUACCCAUACACUUGGUUCAUAACCUGGAGUGACACUGUCAGCCAUUAAACCUGUCACGGUCCACAUCACCAGUGACAUUCUGGAGGACAAUGGUGAAAGGUGUAAUGCUAGAAGACCUUAACAGCAGAUACAGUAUACAGAGAAGGCAAAAAUGGUGAUGAGCAUUGGCUUUCUCAUUGACCCCCAGUUCAAAGGUCGCUUUUUGAACCAGUUUCACUUUUCACGCGUUUUAUUUUUUUUCCUACCCAUUUUGC